Molecule: ribosomal RNA, 2918 nt
Filed under: Acinetobacter baumannii
Lineage: Bacteria; Pseudomonadati; Pseudomonadota; Gammaproteobacteria; Moraxellales; Moraxellaceae
Description: 23S ribosomal RNA
Rfam family: Bacterial large subunit ribosomal RNA
Source: RNAcentral
GUUGUAUAGUCAAGUAAUUAAGUGCAUGUGGUGGAUGCCUUGGCAGUCAGAGGCGAUGAAAGACGUGAUAGCCUGCGAAAAGCUCCGGGGAGGCGGCAAAUAUCCUUUGAUCCGGAGAUGUCUGAAUGGGGGAACCCACCUACUUUAAGGUAGGUAUUGCAACAUGAAUACAUAGUGUUGCAAGGCGAACGAGGGGAAGUGAAACAUCUCAGUACCCUUAGGAAAAGAAAUCAAUUGAGAUUCCCUCAGUAGCGGCGAGCGAACGGGGAUCAGCCCAUUAAGUUAUGUGUGUUUUAGUGGAACGCUCUGGGAAGUGCGAACGUAGAGGGUGAUAUUCCCGUACACGAAAGGGCACACAUAAUGAUGACGAGUAGGGCGAGGCACGUGAAACCUUGUCUGAAUAUGGGGGGACCAUCCUCCAAGGCUAAAUACUCCUGACUGACCGAUAGUGAACCAGUACCGUGAGGGAAAGGCGAAAAGAACCCCUGUGAGGGGAGUGAAAUAGAUCCUGAAACCGCAUGCAUACAAGCAGUGGGAGCACCUUCGUGGUGUGACUGCGUACCUUUUGUAUAAUGGGUCAGCGACUUAUAUUCAGUAGCGAGGUUAACCGUAUAGGGGAGCCGUAGAGAAAUCGAGUCUUAAUAGGGCGUUUAGUUGCUGGGUAUAGACCCGAAACCAGGCGAUCUAUCCAUGAGCAGGUUGAAGGUUGGGUAACACUAACUGGAGGACCGAACCCACUGUCGUUGAAAAGCCAGGGGAUGACUUGUGGAUAGGGGUGAAAGGCUAAUCAAGCCUGGUGAUAGCUGGUUCUCCCCGAAAGCUAUUUAGGUAGCGCCUCGGACGAAUACCAUAGGGGGUAGAGCACUGUUUCGGCUAGGGGGUCAUCCCGACUUACCAAACCGAUGCAAACUCCGAAUACCUAUGAGUACUAUCCGGGAGACAGACUGCGGGUGCUAACGUCCGUAGUCAAGAGGAAAACAAUCCAGACCGCCAGCUAAGGCCCCAAAAUCAUAGUUAAGUGGGAAACGAUGUGGGAAGGCAUAGACAGCUAGGAGGUUGGCUUAGAAGCAGCCACCCUUUAAAGAAAGCGUAAUAGCUCACUAGUCGAGUCGGCCUGCGCGGAAGAUGUAACGGGGCUAAAACUAUGUGCCGAAGCUGCGGAUGUAUACUUUGUAUACGUGGUAGGGGAGCGUUCUGUAAGCCGAUGAAGGUGUGUUGAGAAGCAUGCUGGAGGUAUCAGAAGUGCGAAUGCUGACGUGAGUAACGACAAAACGGGUGAAAAACCCGUUCGCCGAAAGACCAAGGGUUCCAGUCCAACGUUAAUCGGGGCUGGGUGAGUCGACCCCUAAGGCGAGGCCGAAAGGCGUAGUCGAUGGGAAAAUGGUUAAUAUUCCAUUACUUCUGUGUAAUGCGAUGAGAGGACGGAGAAGGCUAAAUCAGCCUGGCGUUGGUUGUCCAGGUGAAAGGAUGUAGGCAUGUAUCUUAGGCAAAUCCGGGGUACUCUAUGCUGAGAUCUGAUAGCAAGCUGUACUUGUACAGCGAAGUGGUUGAUGCCAUGCUUCCAGGAAAAGUCUCUAAGCUUCAGUUACACAGGAAUCGUACCCGAAACCGACACAGGUGGUCAGGUCGAGUAGACCAAGGCGCUUGAGAGAACUCUGCUGAAGGAACUAGGCAAAAUGGUACCGUAACUUCGGGAGAAGGUACGCUGUUGUUGGUGAUGGAACUCGCUUCCUGAGCUGACGACAGCCGCAGAAACCAGGCCGCUGCAACUGUUUAUUAAAAACAUAGCACUCUGCAAACACGAAAGUGGACGUAUAGGGUGUGAUGCCUGCCCGGUGCUGGAAGGUUAAUUGAUGGGGUUAGCGUAAGCGAAGCUCUUGAUCGAAGCCCCAGUAAACGGCGGCCGUAACUAUAACGGUCCUAAGGUAGCGAAAUUCCUUGUCGGGUAAGUUCCGACCUGCACGAAUGGCAUAAUGAUGGCGGCGCUGUCUCCAGCAGAGGCUCAGUGAAAUCGAAAUCGCUGUGAAGAUGCAGUGUACCCGCGGCUAGACGGAAAGACCCCGUGAACCUUUACUGCAGCUUGACACUGAACUUUGACCUUACUUGUGUAGGAUAGGUGGGAGGCUUUGAAGCUGGAACGCUAGUUCCAGUGGAGCCGUCCUUGAAAUACCACCCUGGUAAUGUUGAGGUUCUAACUCUGUCCCGUGAUCCGGGACGAGGACCGUGUCUGGUGGGUAGUUUGACUGGGGCGGUCUCCUCCUAAAGAGUAACGGAGGAGUACGAAGGUGCGCUCAGCGUGGUCGGAAAUCACGCGUAGAGUAUAAAGGCAAAAGCGCGCUUAACUGCGAGACCCACAAGUCGAGCAGGUACGAAAGUAGGUCUUAGUGAUCCGGUGGUUCUGUAUGGAAGGGCCAUCGCUCAACGGAUAAAAGGUACUCUGGGGAUAACAGGCUGAUACCGCCCAAGAGUUCAUAUCGACGGCGGUGUUUGGCACCUCGAUGUCGGCUCAUCUCAUCCUGGGGCUGAAGCAGGUCCCAAGGGUAUGGCUGUUCGCCAUUUAAAGAGGUACGCGAGCUGGGUUUAGAACGUCGUGAGACAGUUCGGUCCCUAUCUACCGUGGGCGCUGGAAAUUUGAGAGGAUCUGCUCCUAGUACGAGAGGACCAGAGUGGACGAACCUCUGGUGUACCGGUUGUGACGCCAGUCGCAUCGCCGGGUAGCUAUGUUCGGAAGGGAUAACCGCUGAAAGCAUCUAAGCGGGAAGCCUACCUCAAGAUAAGAUUUCCCUAGGACUUUAUGUCCUCUAAAGAGCCGUUCGAGACCAGGACGUUGAUAGGUUGGAUGUGGAAGCAUAGUGAUAUGUGAAGCUGACCAAUACUAAUUGCUCGUGAGGCUUGACUAUACAACACCCAAGCAGUUG